Molecule: ribosomal RNA, 403 nt
Filed under: uncultured bacterium
Lineage: Bacteria
Description: bacterial SSU rRNA
Rfam family: Bacterial small subunit ribosomal RNA
Source: RNAcentral
GACGAACGCCGGCGGCGUGCUUAACACAUGCAAGUCGAGCGGUAAGGCCCUUUCGGGGGUACACGAGCGGCGAACGGGUGAGUAACACGUGGGUGACCUGCCCUCAGCUCUGGGAUAAGCCUGGGAAACCGGGUCUAAUACCGGAUAUGACUCCAUGACGCAUGUUGUGGGGUGGAAAGCCUUGUGCGGCUGAGGAUGGGCCCGCGGCCUAUCAGCUUGUUGGUGGGGUGAUGGCCACCAAGGCGACGACGGGUAGCCGGCCUGAGAGGGCGACCGGCCACACUGGGACUGAGACACGGCCCAGACUCCUACGGGAGGCAGCAGUAGGGAAUAUUGGACAAUGGUGCAAGCCUGAUCCAGCCAUGCCGCGUGCAGGAAGAAAGCCUUCUGGGUUGUAAACUGC